This is a long non-coding RNA of Oncorhynchus tshawytscha (Chinook salmon), 2736 nucleotides long. The record is from Ensembl. NCBI's taxonomy places the organism in Eukaryota, Metazoa, Chordata, Actinopteri, Salmoniformes, Salmonidae.
CCAGAACAGACUGGGGGCCACGACAACUGAACGUCAGUGAGGGUCAUAACCAGAACAGACUGGGGGCCACGACAACUGAACGUCAGUGAGGGUCAUAACCAGAACAGACUGGGGGCCACGACAACUGAACGUCAGUGAGGGUCAUAACUAAAAAGGCAUUGUGCCAAAAGAAAGUAAAAGAGACAUCUGGAUAGAUCUGCUAGUUCCAUUUUCAGAUGGAAAAAAUGAAUUCAGGUUCAAUUGAAUAAAGGCGUUAAUUUCAGGGACUUGUCCAAAACUAAAAACAUGAUUUAAAAGUGUUUCACGUUCAUUCUGACAAUAUUUGUGGUUCUGAACGGUUUCCAACAGUCUGACCGACACGUAGCCUGAAAUCCAGUCAUCUUUGUGCUAACAUUCCACUCCUUGCCAAUCCUUGUCAUGCCAAACAGUGGCAAGGAGUGGAAUGUUAAGACAUCCUGGAUUCCAGGCUACCCAUCAGGCAGGCUGACAGAACAGUGAGGGUGUAUCUUAGCAACGAGGGAACAUGAACUGAAUUAUACCAUUUUAUUACUAAAAACAAAAGGCUUCAUCAUGUUUCAUCUGAAAACAGGCUUUACAUGAGCCUACCCACACGUUAGAAAAAUAGAGUUGCAGUUAGGAAUAUGAUGUAUAUCAUAGCAAAAAUAUACGUGGACCUUUCUCUGUGUGGGGAGGCAGGUAGCCUAGUGGUUAGAGUGGAGGGGCGGCAGGUAGCCUAGUGGUUAGAGUGGAGAGGCGGCAGGGUAGCCUAGUGGUUAGAGUGUAGAGGCGGCAGGGUAGCCUAGUGGUUAGAGUGUAGGGGCGGAAGGUAGCCUAGUGGUUAGAGUGUAUAGGCGGCAGGGUAGCCUAGUGGUUAGAGUGGAGGGGCGGCAGGGUAGCCUAGUGGUUAGAGUGGAGGGGCGGCAGGGUAGCCUAGUGGUUAGAGUGGAGGGGCGGCAGGGUAGCCUAGUGGUUAGAGUGGAGGGGCGGCAGGGUAGCCUAGUGGUUAGAGUGGAGGGGCGGCAGGGUAGCCUAGUGGUUAGAGAGGGGCGGCAGGGUAGCCUAGUGGUUAGAGAGGAGGGGCGGCAGGGUAGCCUAGUGGUUAGAGAGGGGCGGCAGGGUAGCCUAGUGGUUAGAGCGUUGAGCUAGUCACCGAAAGGUUACAAGUUCAAAUCCCUGAGCUGACAAGGUACAAAUCUGUUGUUCUGCCCCUGAACAAGGCAGUUAACCCACUGUUCCCCAGUAGGCCGUCAUUGAAAAUAAGAAUUUGUUCUUAACUGACCUUGUUAAACAAAGGUAAUAAAAAAAAAAUGGGUCCUACUUCUCAGGGCUCAGUCCUACUUCUCAGGGCUCAGUCCUACUUCUCAGGGCUCAGUCCUACUUCUCAGGGCUCAGUCCUACUUCUCAGGGCUCAGUCCUACUUCUCAGGGCUCAGUCCUACUUCUCAGGGCUCAGUCCUACUUCUCAGGGCUCAGUCCUACUUCUCAGGGCUCAGGGGUCAGUCCUACUUCUCAGGGCUCAGGGGUCAGUCCUAGUUCUCAGGGUCAACAUACUGCCAUCUAACAGGCUCUGUCCAACACACAGAGGAGGUUCAACAUACUGCCAUCUAUCCUGACAGGCUCUAUCCAACACACAACAUACUGCCAUCUAUCCUGACAGGAUCUAUCCAACACACAACAUACUGCCAUCUAUCCUGACAGGAUCUGUCCAACACACAACAUACUGCCAUCUAUCCUGACAGGCUCUGUCCAACACACAACAUACUGCCAUCUAUCCUGACAGGCUCUGCCCAACACACAACAUACUGCCAUCUAUCCAACACACAACAUACUACCAUCUAUCCAACACACAACAUACUGCCAUCUAUCCUGACAGGCUCUGUCCAACACACCACAUACUACCAUCUGUCCAACACACAACAUACUGCCAUCUAUCCUGACAGGCUCUGUCCAACACACAACAUACUGCCAUCUAUCCAACACACAACAUACUGCCAUCUAUCCUGACAGGAUCUGUCCAACACACAACAUACUGCCAUCUAUCCUGACAGGAUCUGUCCAACACACAACAUACUGACAUCUAUCCUGACAGGAUCUGUCCAACACACAACAUACUGACAUCUAUCCUGACAGGAUCUGUCCAACACACAGAGUGGUGUUGUUUUUCUACUGCUUAUGAAGCUGCUGGUGACUGGUUGUAUUCUUGGAUUCUACAUGAAAUGCUUCACUUAGGCUAGACUGGUCUAUGUUAGAGCAGAAACUGUGUGGCAGUGUUUACUAGGGUCUUCCCAGACAUACUGUAGUAGAUUCCUUUUGUGGUCCACAUUCAGGAUUAAACAGAAGUCUAAACAAACGGAUGGAUCUGGCUUAAGACGGCACUACGCUAGUUUUCUGAGACACACAAUUAUUCAAGGACGUUACCAGCACAAAGAACAACUAUAAAACAAACGGUUUGUAGUUCCAUCUGUACAAGAGACAGAAACACUGAAGUUAAAUUAUUCCUCUCAUUUAGCUCUCCCUCAACAUACUGUUCCACUGUCUGUUCCAUCAACCAGAGUUCAAUAACAGAACUAUUCUCUGGACCGGGACACAGAACCACCGUCUGUUCCAUCAACCAGAGUUCAAUAACAGAACUAUUCUCUGGACCGGGACACAGAACCACUGUCUGUUCCAUCAACCAGAGUUCAAUAACAGAACUAUACUCUGGACCGGGACACAGAACCACCGUCUGUUCCAUCAA